RNAcentral lists this long non-coding RNA (525 nucleotides) under Heterocephalus glaber (naked mole-rat). RNAcentral's name for it is "lncRNA (ENSHGLG00000041733.1)". The record is from RNAcentral. Lineage: Eukaryota; Metazoa; Chordata; Mammalia; Rodentia; Bathyergidae.
CACCUGAGUAGCUGAGAGUAUAUGCAUGUGCCACAGCACCCAGCUGUUUUCUUUCUCAGCACCAGAAGUCGAACUCAGGACCUUGCACUUGCCAGGAGCCGCUCAGACUCACGCAACCCUGUAGCGUUUCUUCCAGUCCCUGAGGACUCUGUGCCCUGCAAGUUGUGCCCUCCUCACCUCCUCUACCGAGUACUUCCCGACCUCACUCCUGGAGUCUCAUUCCCCGGUGCUCCAUUCCUGCUGCUCCCUUCUCUCCUCCGAGGUCACCAUCCAGGAAUUCUGGCUCCAGAAGCCCGGAGGGCAGACAUUGGACUCACCACGCUCACUACCCACAUGGCGGCGGAACCACUGAGCUACAUCCCCUGCCCGACGGUGACUGACGUCUCGAGAGCAGUCUCACCAACCAGCCCGAUGCACCACCUGUGUAGUCAUUACCAGCAGGAUCUGACCUCAUGCAGGGCUCUUCCAGGGCCAGACAGUUGAUGGUGCUCUGCUCUUCAAGGCCAGGCAGGGCGAGGCUGUGUG